This 3535-nucleotide long non-coding RNA is filed under the name Nicotiana tabacum (common tobacco). Its description in RNAcentral is "long non-coding RNA (NTAB_LNC011336)". The record is from RNAcentral. Lineage: Eukaryota; Viridiplantae; Streptophyta; Magnoliopsida; Solanales; Solanaceae.
ACCAACUCAAUACAGCUCAACACAGCUGAACAAUACAUAAAGAAGAAUAGAUGGGGGAAAUGAUGCUAUAACUCUCAAAACGACAGGCCAGGUCGUUACAAAAAACCUUCCUAAAUCCUUUGAAUUUCGGAUCUAAAAAGGCCGAAAAAUCCUAAAUCUGUCCUUUUUUGAUUUCUCCUCAAUCUCGGCUCGUUUGAACUUGAAAUUUACAUCAACUAAUUGCUCUUGAUGAGAUCAAUCAACUGAUGUUAGUCUUGGUUCAUCUCACGGCCACCGAAUUCCGACUAACUCACCACUGGCCGGCUAAAGCUUCAUCGCCAUCAUUGUUAGUCAAUUCGCCUCAAUUGCCGUCUCUUUUAGAAUCCAAAUCAGUGCAUCUAUCUUUUCCUUUCUUUUGUUUCUUUUUCUGUUUCAGAUUAUCACUUUGGUGUUAAUUUCUUUUGAUUAGAUUAGUUAUUAAUUUGUUUAAACUUAGUGAAAGUAAGAUUAAUUAGUUAAUUGCAUGUGUUUUAGGUUAACUGAAUCAGCUUUAAUAAUUUAAUAAUUUUGCCAUGUUUAAUUAGUAAGCAGUUUUUAUUUUGUUUGAUCCUUGAUUUGGUCUUAAUUGUUUGAUUUCUGAUGUUUGAAUGUUAAUUGUAAUUAAGGGGGUGAAAGGAUAAUAACAGAAACUUUAAGAGGGUAAUUGAAAACCAAAUUUAGGGAAUCUAUCUAGUUGCUCAGGAAGCUUCUAGAAAAAGGACUUAAGUGCAAUAACAUAAAUAAAUUAAGUCAGAUUUUGGAUUAAAAAAAGUGAAUUUUCAGAAAUUAAAAAGAGUGGAAAAUGAGAAGAAACUUCUAGAAAUGGACAAUUGUCCGAAUACUGUCACACCCUUUUUUAACCAAACUUCACCUAACCCUCUAAAAUUAAUAAAAGUAAUUUAGUAAAAACUUGAAAAAGGAUUUUAAUUAAAAAGUGACAAAUAUUGUAUUCAAAAAGAAAACUCAGAGUCGCCACCUGACAUGUGAUUUCGGUGUGCCAGGCCACCGGUUUUUUUAGAAAAUAUUUUUCCUUUUAAAACACUUGGACUCAAAACUAAGUCCGCACCAGAGGUUUAGUAUGGUUGCGUACCCGAUCUAGUUGACUUUUAGAAUAUUCAAGUUAAAGUAAAAUCACAGUAAAGCAGAAUAAACACACACGAGGCUUGAGGUCGUCCCCGCCUAAUAAAAGAAAAUGAAAAGGAAAGGAAAAGAAAAAUCUUAAGCUAACCUAUACUACGACUUCUCCACCAUGCUCGACAAGGCCUCCAAAAUAUUUACAUAGUUCUUUGGGUCAUACCCCGAUAAUAAUAUAUACAAACCCCUCGGGGCAUUUCUCGGAUAAAUUCAACUAGGGGAACGACCUCUUUCCUCGAAAUUAAAAGCAAGCAAAUAGAAAAAUUCUAAUAUUGCCUACCCAAAUGUUGUCGGCCUAAUAUGCUCCUAGCGAAUAAUAAUAAUAAAACGAGAAUAAGUAAAUAAGUGAAAAACUAAAAAAAAAAUCAAUUCGGUGUCAUGUUCUGUUAACUUAUCAUUAUUUUCAUGUAUUUCGACCAAGCCCAAUUCCUAAGUAAGUAAGCAAAUUAACACUAAUGGGCCAAGUCUCUCUCCCAACUCCCAUGGUCCUAUAACUAUUCAAAUAAUUUCAUACCCAACAACGCUAAAUCAACAAGGUAAUGCAUUUAACAGAACACCCUAGGCAUUCAUAGAAGAUAAGAACAAGGAAAGCUAAAAUAGCAAUAACUACUACAAGUUAGGGAAAAUGAAUCAAGGCCAUUAGGAGGAGCCAAUACUAUGACUAUAUCAGUAGCUCAAUCAUAAUUCUCGCUGCAUAAUAGACAUCAUCUCAAAACAAAAAAUUAAUCCAAGAGGACCAACAAAUUUUUUAAACAGCCUUAAUAAUCACAAUGAAUCGAACAUCAAAUUGGCCCAUUUUCAUUGCAAUCUGGACAUCAUUGGAAGUCAUAUUCAUUUUUUAGAACAGUAGUUUUUGCUCAAAUGAAAGAGAUAUAGCUUUUUAGAACAACUCAUGAAAUUUGGGAAUAACAGUGAUAUACUGGAGGCCUUCAUGGUGACAACAUCUAUCCAUAUUAUUGAAACACACAUCAAAAAUACUUGAUGAUUAUAUGGAAAGUAGCAAAGACAGUGGCAUAAGUUCUUGAACAACACAUGAUUCUUUUUCUUCCUUUCUUUACUUUUACAUGUACCUAACAAUUUAAGAGAAUUGAAGAUCCUUCACGACUCAUUACAAGUUUAAACCAGCCGAAGGAAAGCAAAACAACAUACCAACAACCUCAUUUCUCGAAUCAUAAGGGACUACAAAACACUAUUUCAACCUUAAGGUCGAUUCACCAUCAAAUCCAAUUGGGAUAACGAGUUAAUAUAUAACCAGAACCACCUUUCAAUCCACAUAAAGCAAAAUCCUAGCAUUAAAGGUUGGGACAUGAAGAAAAAUCAAAUAACAGAACCUCGUUAAAGAAAAAAAAAUCUAUCACAAUGAACUUGAGUUAAUCUUUCAAAACUGUUAGUAUUUACCAUAUUUCAAAACUGGCAACUCAUUCAACGUUAUUCACCAAAGAAUACAGAAGGUCGGCAAAGCGAUACCAUGGAAUCAAACACAUUUCUAAUUCAUUCAAACUCUUAUGAAGAGACUCGCCAAAAGGAAACUCAUAGAGUAACAAUAACCAGCAGCCAAAAUCAGCAAGAAAAAUCAGUUAAAUCUGAAACUACUACUGAUUAGUCUAUCUUAAAUGGCUCCCUCUAUGGCUUUGAUUCAUAAUACACACAAGAGUAGGAGGAAGAAAUGAACCUGAAAGCGCUCUUAAUUAAUUCUGAUCGCAAUCAAAUACACUUAAAUAUGGCAGUGAAGAUCCACGACAAACAACAUCCAAGAAAGAGGAACUCGCGAUCUCGAACGGACCUCAACUGGCAAGCAAUCGACGACUCGAGCGACCUCGAUUCAAUACCAAAACUCAAAUUGAAACUCAAAAAUUGAAAAGCAGUAAAGGGAUGAAAACAUAUAUUUUGUGUUAGUUUUUUCGGAUCUUUCCGAAAAUAAAGGACUCAAAAUAAAAACCUAAAACCCUAGCUUUUUCUGUCAAGAAAUACCCCCUUUCAAUCUCUGUCCAGACCCAAAUAUAUAGCCCUCUCUCGAAGCUUCUCUCCUUCCUUUGCAAGAAAUAGCAAAAACCCUUCAAAAAUCCGAAAAUCCCACCAAAAUUCCGAAAAUUUCCUUCUUUUUGGUAAAAAUCUGGACAAAUGGAGGGGUAUGAUUAAUUUUCAUUAAUCAUAUCCUACCCUUCGUCCAUCAUCUAUCGUUGAAAGAGAUUCACGUAUGAGAGAGCAAAAUACAACGUAGAUUCGAACCAAAAUCGGUUAUUUGUCAGGCCACGUGGAAGAAAGAGAGAAGGGAAAGGGGGACCAUGAGUUAACUCGCCGGGUUGGCAAGUUUUUCCGGUGAGUUUGGGGUAAAGGAUGCGGGCAGAGACGGGGAAGGGGGGCGCCGAUUUGGGUAGUCUUU